AAACACCGGAUUCCAUUCGAUCACCGAAGUUAAGCAGCGUCGAGCCCAGUCAUUACUUAGAUGAGGAAUCGCUUAGAAACAACGGGUACU
Molecule: non-coding RNA, 90 nt
Organism: Acanthosepion pharaonis
Lineage: Eukaryota; Metazoa; Mollusca; Cephalopoda; Sepiida; Sepiidae
Source: the annotation of a GenBank genome assembly